This 620-nucleotide ribosomal RNA is filed under the name Nostoc sp. MACC 159. Its description in RNAcentral is "bacterial SSU rRNA". It matches the Rfam family "Bacterial small subunit ribosomal RNA", at positions 36 to 697 of the family's 1533-position model. Lineage: Bacteria; Bacillati; Cyanobacteriota; Cyanophyceae; Nostocales; Nostocaceae. The record is from RNAcentral.
CUGCGGGGAGGCCUUUACACAUGCAAGUCGACGGUGUCUUCGGACAUAGCUGGCGGACGGGUGAGUAACGCGUGAGAAUCUGGCUUUAGGUCUGGGACAACCACUGGAAACGGUGGCUAAUACCGGAUGUGCCCUUUGGGGUGAAAGAUUAAUUGCCUGAAGAUGAGCUCGCGUCUGAUUAGCUAGUUGGAAGUGUAAUGGACUCCCAAGGCGACGAUCAGUAGCUGGUCUGAGAGGACGAUCAGCCACACUGGGACUGAGACACGGCCCAGACUCCUACGGGAGGCAGCAGUGGGGAAUUUUCCGCAAUGGGCGAAAGCCUGACGGAGCAAUACCGCGUGAGGGAGGAAGGCUCUUGGGUCGUAAACCUCUUUUCUCAGGGAAGAACACAAUGACGGUACCUGAGGAAUAAGCAUCGGCUAACUCCGUGCCAGCAGCCGCGGUAAUACGGAGGAUGCAAGCGUUAUCCGGAAUGAUUGGGCGUAAAGCGUCCGCAGGUGGCAAUGUAAGUCUGCUGUUAAAGAGUCUAGCUCAACUAGAUAAGAGCAGUGGAAACUACAUAGCUAGAGUACGUUCGGGGCAGAGGGAAUUCCUGGUGUAGCGGUGAAAUGCGUAGAAAA